AGAUUGAACGCUGGCGGCGUGCCUAACACAUGCAAGCCGAGCGGUAACAGGUGUAGCAAUACAUGCUGACGAGCGGCGAACGGGUGAGUAAUGCUUUGGAAUCUUCCCAGUAGUGGGGAAUAACCAGUCGAAAGAUUGGCUAAUACCGCAUACGUCUGUAAAGGGAAAGCGGGGGCUCGUAAGACCUCGCGCUAUUGGAUGAGCCAAAGUCGGAUUAGCUAGUUGGUGGGGUAAUGGCCUACCAAGGCGACAAUCCGUAGCUGGUCUGAGAGGACGACCAGCCACACCGGAACUGAGACACGGUCCGGACUCCUACGGGAGGCAGCAGUGGGGAAUAUUGGACAAUGGGGGAAACCCUGAUCCAGCGACGCCGCGUGUGUGAAGAAGGCCUGCGGGUUGUAAAGCACUUUUAGUGGGGACAAAAAGCUACGGACUAAUAUUCUGUGGUCUUGAUUUAACCCAAAGAAAAGCACCGGCUAACUCUGUGCCAGCAGCCGC
RNAcentral lists this ribosomal RNA (498 nucleotides) under uncultured bacterium. Its description in RNAcentral is "SSU rRNA". It matches the Rfam family "Bacterial small subunit ribosomal RNA", at positions 26 to 518 of the family's 1533-position model. The record is from RNAcentral.